RNAcentral lists this unclassified non-coding RNA (312 nucleotides) under uncultured fungus. RNAcentral's name for it is "sequence contains ITS2". The stretch from base 1 to 52 matches the Rfam family "5.8S ribosomal RNA", at positions 103 to 154 of the family's 154-position model. The record is from RNAcentral. Lineage: Eukaryota; Fungi.
AACGCACCUUGCGCUCCUUGGUAUUCCGAGGAGCAUGCCUGUUUGAGUGUCUUGAAGUCAUCAACCCCUCCCGUCUUUUGUUGCGGAGAGGUCGGUUGGAGUUGGGGGCUUGCGGCCGCUUGGCCGCUCCCCUCGAAUGCUUCGGUUGGGCCCGUGGGUCGACUCGGUAGGGCGUUGUAGCAUCCUCGCUCUCGUUCCGAGACGUCUCUCCUGCGCUUGUGUGCCCUCCCGCAGACCGCCCCUCGGAGCGGCGGUCAAACACAAACUUUGAAAUCUGACCUCAAAUCAGGUAGGACUACCCGCUGAACUUAA